GGCGAGACUCAAAACAGACGACUACACAUGUAGAACUGCGCGAAGAAGGCUUGUGGACGGGGGUUCAAAUCCCCCCAGCUCCACCA
Molecule: transfer-messenger RNA, 86 nt
Filed under: Rhodocyclaceae bacterium
Lineage: Bacteria; Pseudomonadati; Pseudomonadota; Betaproteobacteria; Rhodocyclales; Rhodocyclaceae
Description: partial transfer-messenger RNA
Rfam family: transfer-messenger RNA
About the family: Bacterial tmRNA, also known as 10Sa RNA or SsrA, is named for its dual tRNA and mRNA-like properties.
Source: RNAcentral